RNAcentral lists this ribosomal RNA (468 nucleotides) under uncultured bacterium. RNAcentral describes it as "partial 16S ribosomal RNA". It matches the Rfam family "Bacterial small subunit ribosomal RNA", at positions 28 to 507 of the family's 1533-position model. The record is from RNAcentral.
GACGAACGCUGGCGGCGUGCUUAACACAUGCAAGUCGAACGGAAAGGCCCUGCUUUUGUGGGGUGCUCGAGUGGCGAACGGGUGAGUAACACGUGAGUAACCUGCCCUUGACUUUGGGAUAACUUCAGGAAACUGGGGCUAAUACCGGAUAGGAGCUCCUGCUGCAUGGUGGGGGUCGGAAAGUUUCGGCGGUGGGGGAUGGACUCGCGGCUUAUUAGCUUGUUGGUGGGGUAGUGGCUUACCAAGGCUUUGACGGGUAGCCGGCCUGAGAGUGUGACCGGGCACAUUGGGACUGAGAUACGGCCCAGACUCCUACGGGAGGCAGCAGUGGGGAAUAUGACACAAUGGGCGGAAGCCUGAGGCAGCAACGCCGCGUGCGGGAUGACGGCCUUCGGGUUGGAAACCGCUUUCGCCUGUGACGAAGCGGGAGUGACGGUAAUGGGUAAAGAAGCACCGGCUAACUACGUG